GAGCAUACGGUGGAUGCCUAGACUGAAAAGAGCGAUGAAGGACGCGGUUUGGCUGCGAUAAUCUUCGGUAAGGUGCCAAGCAACCUGUGACCCGAAGGUUUCCGAAUGGGGAAACCCACGAACGGUUAUUCGUUCGUACUUUGAUUUAAAUCAAAGAGCGCACCCGGGGAAGUGAAACAUCUCAGUACCCGGAGGAAAAGAAACUAAUAAGGGCCUGAAACAAAUUAUUUUGUUUUUAGACCCGCAGUAUUCCCUAAGUAGCGGCGAGCGAAACGGGAGAAGCCCAAACCCAGCACUUUCUUUUACGAAAAAAUUUUCUUACAUCAUAGUAAAGUAAAUUACUGUUUUGUAGGUAUUGAAAAUUAUGAUAAUUGUUUUGUAAAAGAAGGUGCUGGGGGUUGUAAGAUACAAAUUUCUGUAAGAGCCUGUUUAAGAACUUGCUUUCGAAGCGAAAUUUUCACCCAGCACCUUCCUUUUACAAAACAAUUAUUUUUAAUACUUACAAAACAGUAAUUUACUACUGUAAUGUAAGAAAAUUUUUUCGUAAAAGAAGGUGCUGGGUAGCCGAAAUGAAGUUUUUAAACAGGCUCUAAGGAGAGAAGUUAUAAAAUGUAAUGUUAACCAAAAUAGCUGGAAAGUUAUACCCCAGAGGGUAAUAGUCCCGUAGGUGAAAAUAUUACAACUUCUUUGUUUGUAUUCUUGAGUACUUCAAGACAUGAAUAGCUUGGGGGAAUCCGCCAGCACUAACUGGCAAGGCUAAAUAUCUUUUCAGAUCGAUAGUGAACUAGUACCGUGAGGGAAAGGUGAAAAGUAGCCCGGUGAGGGCAGUGAAAUAGACCUGAAACCAUAUGCUUACAAAGAGUCAGAGCGGUUGUAUCACAUUGCAUGUGAUGACAAUUAUCAAUUAACAACAAUCAAUUUCCAAUAAAUUUUCAAAUUAUAAAUUCUAAUUUUCAAACGAGAUAAAGUCGUUUAUUGAAAAUUGAUUUUUGAAAAUUUAUUGAAAAUUGGAAAUUGAAAAUUCAUCAUGCGUAGCGUGAUGCAACCGUCAUGGCGUUCCUAUUGAAGAAUGAGCCAACGAGUUUAUAUUAUACCUUUGUUUAAGGGGACUUCCCCGUAGGCGUAGCGAAAGCGAGUCUUAAUAGGGCGACGAUUAUUUUAAUAAUCAAGAGGUAUUGUAUAAGACCCGAAGCCAAGUGAGCUUACCAUGAGCAGGGUGAACCUCGCAGAAAUGCGAGGGGAGGCCCGAACCAGUUGGUCGUACGAUUCCAUUGGAUGACUUGUGGUAAGAAGUGAAAAGCUAAUCGAACUUGGUAAUAGCUGGUUCUCUCCGAAAUAACUUUAGGGUUAGCGUCGCGUGUUCCUUCCGGGGGUAGAGCACUGGAAGAGUUGAAUAGGAGGAAACUUCGUCAACUCUAUCAAACUCCGAAUACCGGAAAUUAAUAACGCUGGCAGUUAGACUAUGGGGGCGAAGCUCCAUUGGUCAAAAGGGAAACAGCCCAGAUCUCAAGUUAAGGUCCCUAAAUUUACACUAAGUGCGCUUAAGGAGGUGAAAUUUCUUAGACAAUGAGGAGGUCGGCUUAGAAGCAGCCACCCUUGAAAGAAAGCGUAACAGCUCACUCAUUCAGAGAUUUUGCGCCGCAGAUUAUCGGGGCUAAGUGUAAUACCGAAACUGAGGAUAUUGGUCGUACCUCACUGCGUUUGGUACGAAAUUAAUAAUUGUCAAUUACUAACUGACAAUAAAUUUCUAAUUUAAAAAUUAAAAAAUUUAAGAAUUGAAAAUUGAUUGUAAAUUAAAAAUUGUAAAUUAAAAAUUUCGCAACCGAGCAUAGCGAGGUGCGACUGGUGUGGUAGGAGAGUAUUCUACUCUGCGUUGAAGCGGAAGGGGUGACCCACCGUGGAGCGGGUAGAAGUAAGAAUGUUGGCACAAGUAACCGCAAUGCGAGUGAGAUUCUCGCACGCCGAAAGACUAAGGUUUCCUUGGCGAUGAUAAUCAGCCAAGGGUUAGUCGGUCCUAAGGCGAUGGCGAAAGCCGGAGUCGAUGGAUACACGGUUAAUAUUCCGUGACUUCCGUAUAAUUGUGAUGGAGGGACGAAGGGUAGUACAUUAUGCGCAUUAUUGGAUUUGCGUUCGUUCUAUAAGAGAGACUCUUAGGAAAAUCCGGGAGUAAGCUUUUUAAUAAGCACCUUUCAAGUAGCGCGAAAACCGGCGGAUUCGUCCAAAGGAAUAUAAUGGAGCACGCUUCCAAGAAAAGCUUCUAAGCUUAGGCAUCACAUUAUGCAAUUACAUUUAGAGGUAACUAGAAGUAACAAAAACAAGUGAAAUGCGAAGUUUUGGAGUUUGAAAAAACUGCAGAUGUAUAAAAAUACAUUGAGAAUUUUUUCAAACGAAAAACAAGUGAUUUGCCAUUUUUGUUGUCUUAUAGGAUGUGAUUUCAUAAUGUGGUGUCUAAAAAUUAUAAGGAAACCGUACCGUAAACCGACACAGGUAGUCAGGUCGAGAAGACCAAGGCGAAUGAGUGAGUGUUCCCCAAGGAACUCGGCAAACAAGCAGCCGUAACUUCGGGAUAAGGCUUCCCGUCACCUUCUAUUUCAUCUGAUAAAUUUAUUAUAUCUUGGUCUAGUUUAACUAGACAAAGUUAAAUAUUUAUUUAGGUGGCAUGGAAGGUGACGGGUGCAACGAAAGAUCUCUGGCAACUGUUUAUUUAAAACACAGCUCCCUGCGAACUUGUAAGAGGAUGUAUAGGGGGUGACGCCUGACCAAUGCUAGAAGGUUAAAUAUCGGUGGUGUAUGAAUUUUGGUUUGUAUGCUGGCUGAUAUAAGCCCUAGUGAAUGUCGGCCCUAACUAUAAGGGUCCUAAGGUAGCGAAAUUCCUUGUCUGGUAAGUUCAGACGUGCACGAAUGGCGUAAUGACUGGAGAACUGUCUCGGGGAACAGCUCGGUGAAAAUG
RNAcentral lists this ribosomal RNA (2950 nucleotides) under Patescibacteria group bacterium. RNAcentral describes it as "23S ribosomal RNA". It matches the Rfam family "Bacterial large subunit ribosomal RNA", at positions 15 to 2044 of the family's 2925-position model. The record is from RNAcentral.